AGCAGCCGCGGUAAUUCCAGCUCCAAUAGCGUAUAUUAAAGUUGUUGCAGUUAAAAAGCUCGUAGUUGAAUUUCGGAAUCUGUCCGUUGGUCGGGCUUCACUGUCCGUACUGGUGUGGUGGGUUCUUACCUUCUGAAUAACCAGCAUGCCAUUCACUUGGUGCGCUGGGGAAGCAGGACUAUUACCUUGAAAAAAUUAGAGUGCUCAAAGCAGGCUAGUGCCUGAAUACAUUAGCAUGGAAUAAUAAAAUAGGACGGCAUGGUUCUAUUUUGUUGGUUUUUGGGGAUUUGAGUA
Molecule: ribosomal RNA, 294 nt
Filed under: uncultured Acaulosporaceae
Lineage: Eukaryota; Fungi; Glomeromycota; Glomeromycetes; Diversisporales; Acaulosporaceae
Description: partial small subunit ribosomal RNA
Rfam family: Eukaryotic small subunit ribosomal RNA
Source: RNAcentral